This 253-nucleotide ribosomal RNA is filed under the name uncultured bacterium. RNAcentral describes it as "partial 16S ribosomal RNA". It matches the Rfam family "Bacterial small subunit ribosomal RNA", at positions 524 to 776 of the family's 1533-position model. The record is from RNAcentral.
UACAGAGGUCCCGAGCGUUGUUCGGAUUCAUUGGGCGUAAAGGGUGCGUAGGUGGCGCUGUAAGUGGGGUGUGAAAUCCCGGGGCUUAACCCCGGGACUGCAUUCCAUACUGCGGUGCUUGAGGACUGGAGAGGAGACUGGAAUUCAUGGUGUAGCAGUGAAAUGCGUAGAGAUCAUGAGGAAGACCAGUGGCGAAGGCGGGUCUCUGGACAGUUCCUGACACUGAGGCACGAAGGCCAGGGGAGCAAACGGG